AGACGACACUUCCGCUCAGUGCACACUGGGGUUAGACUGUGUCGGUAGUGCAUUGUACAAGCCAGGAAUUCAAGAGGGGAAGAGAUCGAAGAUAAACUAAAGAGAAGGAUCUAGAGUAGAACGGAGUACAACCCAAAUGCCAGGUGGAUGCCUAUGGACCUAAUGGAGCACAUCUGGCAGGAUUUCCAGAGAUUACUGGAAGGGAUGGACGUGGGACUGUGAGAAGUGAAAGAAGAGCAUGAAUUUCAUUAUUAGAAUUUAUCUGUGCAGCAUCAGUCGGGCAAGGAAACAAGCUCACAAAUGGAGGCAGCAGGAAUUAAUUGGAGGUGUUUAAGCUGCAGCUGAUUUAAGCAUGCAUUCAUCCCCUCAUUUGCAAAGCUUGUGGUCUGAAUUUAUAUUGGCUGUCCUCAUUCUUGACUAAGAAAGGGGCAAAGGAUAAACCAGGAAACUACCAACCUGUCAGCUUGACAUCAAUAUUUGGAAAACUGAUGGAAAAGCCAUAAUGUAUGAUAAGGAUGAGGACGUUGCUGGCUAAGCAACAUUUAUUGCCCAUCCCUAAUUGCCCAGAUGGCAGUUAAGAGUCAACCACAUUGCUGCUGUCUCUUGCCUUGACAUUCCUUAAUGGAUAUCCCUUCAGUUCAUGGCAUCACCACAAUGCGUAGCCUCAUUGCAAGGCCUUACUAUUUCUCACAUCAGCUGCCAUAUAUCAGUGAGAUGAAGGCUCUUCUUGCAGCUAAGGAACUGGGUUCCUUGCACACCUAACCCACAAGACUGCUUUUUGGAAGAAAAUCUACCAAUCUUACCUGGACUGGCCUAUUUGACUCCAGGCCCAGAAAAGUCCUAAGUGCCCUCUGAAAUAAAGUAGAGUCCAGUCAAGAAUGUCAAAAAAUUGCUGAUACUGUGAGAGCAACUUCAGCACUUGAGCGACAGACAUGUCUGCGGUACGCAAGAUUCUCAUACCAGCAAGGCAAUGUUGCCUGUGCAAUCCAGGUCUGUCAAGUAAUGGUGUUACUAUGUGGUACCAAAGACUUCACCCACUACCACCUUCCUCAUGAUGAAAUCAGUAACCAAGAAGAAAAUGAAUGGAGAGGACAUGCAGCGUUGCUGUACUCCUCUGAUGCUGGAGAAACCUCUGCUGCCCAUAUUAGUUUUGAUACAGCAUUUGGACUUUGAAGGUAUUAAUAUAUUGGCCCAGGAUAUGGUACUGCUGUAUAAUUAUCAGAGUGACUACUGAUACAUGCUGUUGAAACCCUUUUUGAAAUUAAUGAAGUUGAUAACAAAUGCCUUCUAGCUUCUGCUCUAUGGUGAUGCUCCUAAACAUAAAGAUUUGCUCACAGCAUGAUCUCCACAAUGGGCGUUGGAAGCAGAAGUAGACAAUGUGUUGAGAAGCACCAUGCUGAAGACCCUGUCAGGUACGAGCAGUGAUAUUAUACCCUCUAGUUAUUGCAGUCACAGAGGUUCCUUUUCUUGGAAGUUUGACAAGCCUUAUGCAUUUUGUAUGGUAUGAUCUACUUGUGUAGCAUGCAAAACAAUGUUUUUCUCUAUAGCUCGGCACA
Molecule: long non-coding RNA, 1556 nt
Organism: Stegostoma tigrinum
Lineage: Eukaryota; Metazoa; Chordata; Chondrichthyes; Orectolobiformes; Stegostomatidae
Exons: 8
Source: RefSeq, a predicted model, not a curated record